Molecule: ribosomal RNA, 301 nt
Filed under: uncultured bacterium
Lineage: Bacteria
Description: partial 16S ribosomal RNA
Rfam family: Bacterial small subunit ribosomal RNA
Source: RNAcentral
CAGCCGCCGCGGUAAAACGAGGGGGGCAAGCGUUGUUCGGAUUUAUUGGGCGUAAAGGGUGCGUAGGCGGCCCCGCAAGUCUCAUGUGAAAUCUUCAGGCUCAACUUGAAGUCUGCAUGGGAAACUGCGGGGCUGGAGUAUGGGAGAGGUGAGUGAAUUCCACGUGUAGCAGUGAAAUGCGUAGAGAUGUGGAGGAAUACCGAUGGCGAAGGCAGCCCCCUGGGCCAAUACUGACGCUCAUGCACGAAAGCGUGGGGAGCAAACAGGAUUAGAUACCCCCGUAGUCCCUGUCUCUUAUACA